GUGAGGAAUAUUGCGCAAUGGAGGCAACUCUGACGCAGCCAUGCCGCGUGCAGGAAGAAGGCGCUACGCGUUGUAAACUGCUUUUAACCGGGAAGAAACCCCAGGACGUGUCCUGGGUUGACGGUACCGGAGGAAUAAGCACCGGCUAACUUCGUGCCAGCAGCCGCGGUAAUACGAAGGGUGCAAGCGUUAUCCGGAUUCAUUGGGUUUAAAGGGUGCGUAGGCGGAGCGUUAAGUCAGUGGUGAAAUCCUGCAGCUUAACUGUAGACUUGCCAUUGAUACUGGCGCUCUUGAGUGCGCUUGAAGUGGGCGGAAUGUGCCGUGUAGCGGUGAAAUGCUUAGAUAUGGCACAGAACACCAAUUGCGAAGGCAGCACACUAAGGCGAUACUGACGCUGAGGCACGAAAGCGUGGGGAUCGAACAGGAUUAGAUACCCGUGUAGUCC
RNAcentral lists this ribosomal RNA (445 nucleotides) under uncultured bacterium. RNAcentral describes it as "partial 16S ribosomal RNA". It matches the Rfam family "Bacterial small subunit ribosomal RNA", at positions 354 to 796 of the family's 1533-position model. The record is from RNAcentral.